This 253-nucleotide ribosomal RNA is filed under the name uncultured bacterium. Its description in RNAcentral is "partial 16S ribosomal RNA". It matches the Rfam family "Bacterial small subunit ribosomal RNA", at positions 524 to 776 of the family's 1533-position model. The record is from RNAcentral.
GACAGAGGAUGCAAGCGUUAUCCGGAAUGAUUGGGCGUAAAGCGUCUGUAGGUGGCUUUUCAAGUCCGCCGUCAAAUCCCAGGGCUCAACCCUGGACAGGCGGUGGAAACUACCAAGCUGGAGUACGGUAGGGGCAGAGGGAAUUUCCGGUGGAGCGGUGAAAUGCAUUGAGAUCGGAAAGAACACCAACGGCGAAGGCAGCACUCUGGGACGGUACUGACGCUGAGACGCGAAAGCGUGGGGAGCGAACAGG